Molecule: ribosomal RNA, 275 nt
Filed under: uncultured Acinetobacter sp.
Lineage: Bacteria; Pseudomonadati; Pseudomonadota; Gammaproteobacteria; Moraxellales; Moraxellaceae
Description: partial 16S ribosomal RNA
Rfam family: Bacterial small subunit ribosomal RNA
Source: RNAcentral
CCUACGGGUGGCUGCAGUGGGGAAUAUUGGACAAUGGGGGGAACCCUGAUCCAGCCAUGCCGCGUGUGUGAAGAAGGCCUUAUGGUUGUAAAGCACUUUAAGCGAGGAGGAGGCUCUUUUGGUUAAUACCCAAGAUGAGUGGACGUUACUCGCAGAAUAAGCACCGGCUAACUCUGUGCCAGCAGCCGCGGUAAUACAGAGGGUGCGAGCGUUAAUCGGAUUUACUGGGCGUAAAGCGUGCGUAGGCGGCUUUUUAAGUCGGAUGUGAAAUCCCC